CUAAUACAUGCAAGUCGAGCGGACAGAAGGGAGCUUGCUCCCGGAUGUUAGCGGCGGACGGGUGAGUAACACGUGGGUAACCUGCCUGUAAGACUGGGAUAACUCCGGGAAACCGGAGCUAAUACCGGAUAGUUCCUUGAACCGCAUGGUUCAAGGAUGAAAGACGGUUUCGGCUGUCACUUACAGAUGGACCCGCGGCGCAUUAGCUAGUUGGUGGGGUAAUGGCUCACCAAGGCGACGAUGCGUAGCCGACCUGAGAGGGUGUUCGGCCACACUGGGACUGAGACACGGCCCAGACUCCUACGGGAGGCAGCAGUAGGGAAUCUUCCGCAAUGGACGAAAGUCUGACGGAGCAACGCCGCGUGAGUGAUGAAGGUUUUCGGAUCGUAAAGCUCUGUUGUUAGGGAAGAACAAGUGCGAGAGUAACUGCUCGCACCUUGACGGUACCUAACCAGAAAGCCACGGCUAACUACGUGCCAGCAGCCGCGGUAAUACGUAGGUGGCAAGCGUUGUCCGGAAUUAUUGGGCGUAAAGGGCUCGCAGGCGGUUUCUUAAGUC
RNAcentral lists this ribosomal RNA (558 nucleotides) under Bacillus safensis. RNAcentral describes it as "bacterial SSU rRNA". It matches the Rfam family "Bacterial small subunit ribosomal RNA", at positions 48 to 589 of the family's 1533-position model. Lineage: Bacteria; Bacillati; Bacillota; Bacilli; Caryophanales; Bacillaceae. The record is from RNAcentral.